This 71-nucleotide transfer RNA is filed under the name Bubas bubalus. RNAcentral describes it as "tRNA-Trp". The record is from RNAcentral. Lineage: Eukaryota; Metazoa; Arthropoda; Insecta; Coleoptera; Scarabaeidae.
AAGGAUUUAAGUUAAUUUAAACUAGUAACCUUCAAAGUUUCUUAUAAAGAUUUAUACAUCUUUAAGCCUUA